GGGGGGGGGCUGGGAUCCUGUUCUGUCGAUCCGGUUGUCGACCGUGGCGGACGGCACGCCUGUGCGCUCGUACCGCUGCCGGUCGACAGGGCGGUGAUCACACACUACGCGUCGAGGACGUUGACGACCAUACGGCUCCAUCCGACCCGUCUUGAAACACGGACCAAGGAGUCUAACAUGUGCGCGAGUCUCCGGGUGAGCGAAACCUGUGGGCGCAAUGAAAGUAAAGGCGGCACUCGCCGCUGAGGUGAGAAGCACUUACCGGCAAGUGCUGCAUCAUCGACCGACCUGUUCUACUCUUAGAAAGGUUUGAGUAAGAGCGCACCUGUUGGGACCCGAAAGAUGGUGAACUAUGCCUGAAUAGGGUGAAGCCAGCGGAAACACUGGUGGAAGCUCGUAGCGAUUCUGACGUGCAAAUCGAUCGUCGAAUUUGGGUAUAGCGGCGAAAGACUAAUCGAACCAUCUAGUAGCUGGUUCCCUCCGAAG
This 486-nucleotide ribosomal RNA is filed under the name Parasphaerasclera cf. grayi CSM-2013. RNAcentral describes it as "eukaryotic LSU rRNA". It matches the Rfam family "Eukaryotic large subunit ribosomal RNA", at positions 604 to 966 of the family's 3401-position model. The record is from RNAcentral. Lineage: Eukaryota; Metazoa; Cnidaria; Anthozoa; Scleralcyonacea; Parasphaerascleridae.